This 338-nucleotide ribosomal RNA is filed under the name uncultured Legionella sp. RNAcentral's name for it is "bacterial SSU rRNA". It matches the Rfam family "Bacterial small subunit ribosomal RNA", at positions 488 to 825 of the family's 1533-position model. Lineage: Bacteria; Pseudomonadati; Pseudomonadota; Gammaproteobacteria; Legionellales; Legionellaceae. The record is from RNAcentral.
AAGCACCGGCUAACUCCGUGCCAGCAGCCGCGGUAAUACGGAGGGUGCGAGCGUUAAUCGGAAUUACUGGGCGUAAAGGGUGCGUAGGUGGUUGAUUAAGUUAUCUGUGAAAUUCCUGGGCUUAACCUGGGACGGUCAGAUAAUACUGGUUGACUCGAGUAUGGGAGAGGGUAGUGGAAUUUCCGGUGUAGCGGUGAAAUGCGUAGAGAUCGGAAGGAACACCAGUGGCGAAGGCGGCUACCUGGCCUAAUACUGACACUGAGGCACGAAAGCGUGGGGAGCAAACAGGAUUAGAUACCCUGGUAGUCCACGCUGUAAACGAUGUCAACUAGCUGUUG